GAUGAACGCUGGCGGCGUGCUUAACACAUGCCAGUCGAACGAAGCACUUUAUUUGAUUUCCUUCGGGACUGAUUAUUUUGUGACUGAGUGGCGGACGGGUGAGUAACGCGUGGGUAACCUGCCUUGUACAGGGGGAUAACAGUUGGAAACGGCUGCUAAUACCGCAUAAGCGCACGGCAUCGCAUGAUGCAGUGUGAAAAACUCCGGUGGUAUAAGAUGGACCCGCGUUGGAUUAGCUAGUUGGUGAGGUAACGGCCCACCAAGGCGACGAUCCAUAGCCGACCUGAGAGGGUGACCGGCCACAUUGGGACUGAGACACGGCCCAAACUCCUACGGGAGGCAGCAGUGGGGAAUAUUGCACAAUGGGCGAAAGCCUGAUGCAGCGACGCCGCGUGAGCGAAGAAGUAUUUCGGGAUGUAAAGCUCUAUCAGCAGGGAAGAUAAUGACGGUACCUGACUAAGAAGCACCGGCUAAAUACGUG
RNAcentral lists this ribosomal RNA (481 nucleotides) under uncultured bacterium. Its description in RNAcentral is "partial 16S ribosomal RNA". It matches the Rfam family "Bacterial small subunit ribosomal RNA", at positions 28 to 507 of the family's 1533-position model. The record is from RNAcentral.